AUUGAACGCUGGCGGCAGGCCUAACACAUGCAAGUCGAGCGGAUGAAGGGAGCUUGCUCCUGGAUUCAGCGGCGGACGGGUGAGUAAUGCCUAGGAAUCUGCCUGGUAGUGGGGGAUAACGUCCGGAAACGGGCGCUAAUACCGCAUACGUCCUGAGGGAGAAAGUGGGGGAUCUUCGGACCUCACGCUAUCAGAUGAGCCUAGGUCGGAUUAGCUAGUUGGUGGGGUAAAGGCCUACCAAGGCGACGAUCCGUAACUGGUCUGAGAGGAUGAUCAGUCACACUGGAACUGAGACACGGUCCAGUCUCCUACGGGAGGCAGCAGUGGGGAAUAUUGGACAAUGGGCGAAAGCCUGAUCCAGCCAUGCCGCGUGUGUGAAGAAGGUCUUCGGAUUGAAAAGCACUUUAAGUUGGGAGGAAGGGCAGUAAGUUAAUACCUUGCUGUUUUGACGUUACCAACAGAAUAAGCACCGGCUAACUUCGUG
RNAcentral lists this ribosomal RNA (484 nucleotides) under uncultured bacterium. RNAcentral's name for it is "partial 16S ribosomal RNA". It matches the Rfam family "Bacterial small subunit ribosomal RNA", at positions 30 to 507 of the family's 1533-position model. The record is from RNAcentral.